RNAcentral lists this ribosomal RNA (253 nucleotides) under uncultured bacterium. Its description in RNAcentral is "partial 16S ribosomal RNA". It matches the Rfam family "Bacterial small subunit ribosomal RNA", at positions 524 to 776 of the family's 1533-position model. The record is from RNAcentral.
UACGGAGGGUGCAAGCGUUGCUCGGAAUUAUUGGGCGUAAAGGGUAGGUAGGUGGUCUCAUUUGUCUGGGGUGAAAGCCUUGAGCUUAACUCAAGAAGUGCCCCGGAAACGGUGAGACUCGAGUACUGGAGAGGUUCGUGGAAUUCCCGGUGUAGCGGUGAAAUGCGUAGAGAUCGGGAGGAACACCAGAGGCGAAGGCGGCGAACUGGACAGUUACUGACACUCAACUACGAAAGCGUGGGGAGCAAACAGG